Panus rudis PR-1116 ss-1 is the source of this 86-nucleotide non-coding RNA. The record is from the annotation of a GenBank genome assembly. Lineage: Eukaryota; Fungi; Basidiomycota; Agaricomycetes; Polyporales; Panaceae.
UGCCCCAUGGCUGAGUUGGUUACAGCGUCCGACUGUUAUUUCCUAUGAACAUCGGAAGGUCGUGAGUUCGAGCCUCACUGGGGCAG